Varroa destructor (honeybee mite) is the source of this 940-nucleotide long non-coding RNA. RefSeq lists it as uncharacterized. The record is from RefSeq and is a predicted model, not a curated record. Lineage: Eukaryota; Metazoa; Arthropoda; Arachnida; Mesostigmata; Varroidae.
UGAAUCAUUGACGAGCUUAGCAAGAGGCGAACUCAGCCUCUUCGGACACGUCACGGGCAUCGGUGAGUGGAACGACGGGUGGACAGAGACCCGCGGAGGAAAGCAUGGCCACUAGUGACCACGAUCUCAAAUGCAAGAGACCAUUCUAACGCCUGGAUGAACAGUAUAAAGACAGAGAGCAAAACCUUUACUGCGAACUACCCAUAUUCAGGUAACCCGAACUACAGAGGACUAACGAUGAAAGCUCAUUGGUAGCGAAAAUGUUCGUGUACGGGAAACGUUAUGGUCUACAUUCUAAUGCGGACACGCGCACACACACGCGCUCUUCAUUUCGUGCUGGGAGCCAGCUGACCGAUGGAACACCCAACGAUGGUGGCAGACGUAAAACUCGGAACAUUCAGGUUAGGCUGUUGAAACAGGCCGGAUGUGUUGGGUUCGGGGUGCGCCUCCCGAGUCAUGGUAACCAGGCGUCCGGCAGUGGAAGUGACGCAAAUCGUGAAACGCGCAUUAGGUGACGACAUGUCGGUUCGUUUGCCCACUCCAUCAACUCUGCCUUGCUUAUUUUGUCGCUGUAGUAUUUGAACGCUGAUCGGAUGAUCCAACAAAAUAGAUGGACAAUCUAUUAACUCAUGGUACCUACCUCGAAUAUCCUCUGGAUGCGUACUGGAAGUAGCCAGUCCUAGGACACAGGCCAACAGCAGCAACAGCAGCAGAAAUUGAAGUACCGCACCCACGUGAGAAAGAGGAUCAGCCAACAGCGGAGAAGAGUCGGCGUCAUCUUAUCGGUGCUACCCCCAGAUCAGCUACCUCAAUCAGGUGCAUAAGGAGAACAAGAAAGUUGUUCUUUUUUAUUCCACAAUCUGUCGCUAUGUUAUUUCAUUAUGGCUUGCUUUUUCUCUCUCUGUGCUGGUCAAAUUAAUUAUUACUUGGUCAGAGUAGA